This 408-nucleotide ribosomal RNA is filed under the name uncultured microorganism. RNAcentral's name for it is "bacterial SSU rRNA". It matches the Rfam family "Archaeal small subunit ribosomal RNA", at positions 330 to 745 of the family's 1478-position model. The record is from RNAcentral.
GCGCAGCAGGCGCGAAACUUUACAAUGUGCGAAAGCACGAUAAGGGAACUCUGAGUGCCUCCUAAGGAGGCUGUUCAGGUGUCUAAAAGCACCUGAAGGAAGGGCUGGGUAAGACCGGUGCCAGCCGCCGCGGUAACACCGGCAGCCCAAGUGGUAGCCACGUUUAUUGGGUCUAAAGCGUCCGUAGCCGGCUGGGUAAGUUCCUUGGGAAAUUUGGCUGCUUAACAGUCAAGCUUUCAGGGAAUACUGCCCGGCUUGGGACCGGGAGAGGUCAGAGGUACUCCAGGGGUAGGGGUGAAAUCCAUUAAUCCUUGGGGGACCACCGGUAGCGAAGGCGUCUGACCAGACCGGGUCCGACGGUGAGGGACGAAGGCUAGGGGCGCGAACCGGAUUAGAUACCCGCGUAGU